This 1241-nucleotide ribosomal RNA is filed under the name metagenome. Its description in RNAcentral is "bacterial LSU rRNA". It matches the Rfam family "Bacterial large subunit ribosomal RNA", at positions 1564 to 2815 of the family's 2925-position model. The record is from RNAcentral.
UGAAUACGAGAUGCUACGGCGUCGAAGCAGUCUAUGUCAUACUUCCAAGAAAAGCUUGCACUGUCAUAAACAAAUAAUGCCUGUACCAUAACCGACACAGGUGGGUAGGUAGAGUAUACUAAGGGGCGCGAGAUAACUCUCUCUAAGGAACUCGGCAAAAUGACUCCGUAACUUCGGGAGAAGGAGUGCCUUAUUUAUAAGGUUGCAAUAACAAGAUCCAAGCAACUGUUUACCAAAAACACAGGUCUCCGCUAAGUCGUAAGACGAUGUAUGGGGGCUGACGCCUGCCCAGUGCCAGAAGGUUAAAGAAGUUGGUUAGCAUCCGCGAAGCUGAUAACUGAAGCCCUGGUGAACGGCGGCCGUAACAAUAACGGUCCUAAGGUAGCGAAAUUCCUUGUCGGGUAAGUUCCGACCCGCGCGAAAGGCGUAAUGAUUUGGAUACUGUCUCGGAGAGGGGCUCGGUGAAAUAGACUUGUCUGUGAAGAUGCGGACUACCUGCACCAGGACAGAAAGACCCUAUGAAGCUUUACUGUAACCUGAAAUUGAAAUUGGACUUUACUUGCGCAGUAUAGGUGGGAGGCGUUGAGAAUAUUCUUGCGGGAUUAUUGGAGCCAUCAGUGAGAUACCACUCUUGUAAUGUUAGAUUUCUAACUUUGUAUCAUUAUCUGGUCAAAGAACAGUUUCAGGCGGCAGUUUGACUGGGGCGGUCGCCUCCUAAACGGUAACGGAGGCGCACAAAGAUUUCCUCUGAACGGGUAGAAAUCGUAUCUAGAGUGUAAAGGCAUAAGGAAGCUUGACUGUGAGACCUACAAGUCGAGCAGGGACGAAAGUCGGUCUUAGUGAUCUGACGGUGCUGAGUGGAAAGGCCGUCACUCAACGGAUAAAAGUUACUCUAAGGAUAACAGGCUGAUCUCCCCCAAGAGUUCACAUCGACGGGGAGGUUUGGCACCUCGAUGUCGGCUCAUCGCAUCCUGGGGCGGUAGUACGUCCCAAGGGUUGGGCUGUUCGCCCAUGAAAGCGGUACGCGAGCUGGGUUCAGAACGUCGUGAGACAGUUCGGUCCAUAUCCGGUGUAGGCGUUAGAAUAUUAAGAGGAGCCUUCUUUAGUACGAGAGGACCGAGAAGGACAUACCUCUGGUGUACCAGUUAUCGUGCCAACGGUAAACGCUGGGUAGCUAUGUGUGGAGUGGAUAACCGCUGAAAGCAUCUAAGUGGGAAGCCCACCUCAAGAUAAGUAUUCUC